GGUGCUAACUUGGAAGCUUGAGCAGAGGGGAUGGUAGGGCCGAUGAACUGGGGGGAUUGAUAAUGAAACAGGAAGGCUUUCCUCACCAAAUGCCCAGCUGGUGCCUGGAAGCUGGUCGGGAUCCAGAGCCUAGUUCACAGAUUAGAGGACCCUGCAGUGAGUUGGCAGUCUCCGCGGGCGGGGCCGUUGAACAGGGGUUUGCCCUAUUCUGGAUGGUCUGAAGGAAGAUGUUAAUUACGAAAGAACAUCCGGUUCUUGGCAUUCUGUGUAGAAGAAAUCAAUGAUGUUGAAGACCCUAAAGAGAAUCACUGAUUUUGCGGAGGCUUAAUAAAAAGUCAACAAUCAAACAAAAGCCUUUUCCCCUCUGAAUCAUUAUAUGCUGUUGUUCCUGAACAUCUGGGCGGAGGGGAGGUCUGCCUUCACGUGGGCCUCCUCAAAGUACUGCUUCUCGGGCUGUAGCUGUGUCUCUGUUUAUGCCUCAUUUGGAACUGAAGCCAUCAUUCCAAGAUUCUCUUUCUGGAGCUGCCACUAACUAUGUGGGUGAAUUAUUUUCCAACUUUGAACUUCAGUUUUCAAAAUGGAACAAGUCAGGCGAGACUUGCUGUAAUUGAUGAAAGUCGAUGAAAAUACCACUCAGAUUUAGGGCUUAAUCGUAUACUCUUCUGUUGUUUCCUGGGUAUCCAUCUCGUCUUGACAGCCAGCUCUUCAAGCAGGGGGACAGUGUCACACUCCAUGGGAAAGAGCAUAAAAUGUAGAAGCAGAAGCCGUGGCUUCAGGCCCCAGCUCUGUGACCUGGCAGCUCACGUCGCUUUGGUGAGUCAGUGAACCUCUGCCAGGCAUGCUCUCCUCCACUGUAAAACUAGCUGACGGACCCAAAACACAGGGUAAUUUUGAGGACUAAGGGAAAUAAUCAUUAACACAGCACUUGAUAAAUUUUAAAAAAGGAUGUUCAUUAUGGUUAUUUGUGUUGCCCCAGAGCCCUGCCAUGUGCAACGUUAAAUAAGUUUUGUUGAAUGCUGUCUAAGAACAAAGCUCAGACUUUUGCCUUUACUGAUUUUAAAAUCACUGAAGAAGAGUAUUGUUGGUAUAUAAUUGAAACUGAUUUCAUUUCCAAUGCAAAA
RNAcentral lists this long non-coding RNA (1121 nucleotides) under Sus scrofa (pig). Its description in RNAcentral is "lncRNA (ENSSSCG00055014126.1)". Lineage: Eukaryota; Metazoa; Chordata; Mammalia; Artiodactyla; Suidae. The record is from RNAcentral.